This 1204-nucleotide long non-coding RNA is filed under the name Cyanistes caeruleus (blue tit). Its description in RNAcentral is "lncRNA (ENSCCEG00000023924.1)". Lineage: Eukaryota; Metazoa; Chordata; Aves; Passeriformes; Paridae. The record is from RNAcentral.
GGGAGAGGAGGAAAUAGCAGUUUAUAUAGCCAGAUUAGCAGGAGGCCAAGGGUACAGAGGGCAAGGGCAGAUAGUAGCUGGGUGUGCAGUAGCAUAAGGGAGGAAGGGAGGGAGAGAGGGAGGGAGGAGAGUUAAGGAGGAGCACUGGGUUAAGUAGUUUUGGGAGAAUGUACAGUAAAACGUCAAGAACCUGUUAUAAUAGAUAUAUUAACUUCAUAUAUAUAACUUCAGAUCUAUAACUUCAUCUGGGGAGUCCUGCUUGAAGUCCCGAAACUGGAGAUAACUAGACAAGGUAAAUCUUUAAGCGCUUGCAAUUAAAGCCACACAAAUACAGAGCUCAGUUCCUUGCUCAACUGUUCAGUGAACAGUUCCCUAUGUCAAACAAAACCACAGCACUCAGCACUGUUCACAAUAAGGUAUUUGGAGAGCUGGAUCCAUUUUUUAACCUUCUCUCCCCCGUGUCAGCAGCUUCCUUAAAAUAAUUUAUCAGGGAUCUGACAACCAUUUUAAACUUUAAAAGGAAGUUUUUAACUUUCUUUUCUGCAACUGCUGCAAUGCAAAUGUUUCUCUAUCAUAUGAUGUUAAGUAAUGUUACAGUAGAAGCUGUGCUGUACUAGAUGCUGCUGCCACAGUGCAAAUUUAAUAGCAUUGUUAUAUAUAACAAAUGUCAUCACAUACGGCAGGAUUUUUUGAAGUUUUAGAAAAGAUAUGAAUGAGUCUCUUGCAAGAAACUGAUCUUACUGGAACUCUGAUACAGAAAAUUACCCACUAGUGUCAUAAUGCUGUUACACUUCCUUAUUUUUACUCUUCAGUUCUCAGUUGUGUAAACACCCUUCUACCAAUUUGUCAUCACAAAACGGGGCUUUUUAAAAUCUCUUAUCUGCUAUUUGUUCAUAGGAAAUGCCAGACCGUGACUCUGCUGGGACAUUUUGAGCUUUUGGCCAGCAUUCUGGUAGGUGCUGUGGAAGAUUUUCAGAUUUCGACACGCAGAGAUACCGUCUCAAACCCCUCCAGUGGAAAUUCAUGGUUUUGUUCUGCCACAAAAAAUUGAAUGAUUGAAACUACAAAUACUUAAAAUUUCUUCUUGAGGACAGUCAGUACCAAUAUGGAGGCGUAGACACCUUAGAAGGGACUUCAGUCUUACCUCUGGGAGGUAGUUCUGUGCAGAAAUAAAGAAACUAAGGCAUCAAAUACUUUUUUUUUA